This 253-nucleotide ribosomal RNA is filed under the name uncultured bacterium. RNAcentral describes it as "partial 16S ribosomal RNA". It matches the Rfam family "Bacterial small subunit ribosomal RNA", at positions 524 to 776 of the family's 1533-position model. The record is from RNAcentral.
UACAGAGGUGGCAAGCGUUGUUCAGAAUUACUGGGCGUAAAGGGCGAGUAGGUGGCCAUCUAAGUCAGACGUGAAAUCCCCCGGCUUAACCCAGGAAUUGCGUCUGAUACUGCUCGGCUUGAGUACGGUAGAGGAGGGUGGAAUUCCCAGUGUAGCGGUGAAAUGCGUAGAUAUUGGGAGGAACACCGGUGGCGAAGGCGGCCCUCUGGACCGAAACUGACACUGAAGCGCGAAAGCUAGGGGAGCAAACGGG